GCAGUCGAACGGAACCAUCCAAUUGAGUAAUCGAGAGGGUGGUUAGUGGCGAAAGGGUGAGUAACGGACGGGUAACGCACCCCGUGCUUCGGAAUAGCGUCGUUCGCCUUCGGGCGAACUACCGAAAGGGGCGGUAAUACCGGAUGAUGUCACUUGUCGGUGGGCAAGUGACCAAAGAUUUAUCGGCAUGGGAGCGGCCUAUCUCCUAUCAGCUUGUUGGUGGGGUAAGAGCUCACCAAGGCUAUGACGGGUAGCGGGACUGAGAGGUUGGCCCGCCACAUCGGGACUGAGACACUGCCCGGACCUCCACGGAGGGCUGCAGUAACGAAUAUUGCGCAAUGGGCGAAAGCCUGACGCAGCAACGCCGCGUGCGGGAUGAAGUCUUUCGGGAUGUAAACCGCUGUCAGGGGUAAGAAAGUGCGCUCCGGCGUAUUGAUCUAACCCAAAGGAAGUCACGGCUAACUUCGUGCCAGCAGCCGCGGUAAGACGAAGGUGGCUAGCGUUGUUCGGUGUCACUGGGCUUAAAGCGUGUGUAGGCGGAGAAGUAAGCGUCUUGUGAAAUCCCCCGGCUUAACCGGGGAACUGCUGGACGAACUGCUUUUCUUGAGGCAAGCAGGGGUGCAUGGAACUCUUGGUGGAGCGGUGGAAUGCGUAGAUAUCAAGAGGAACGCCUGUGGUGAAAACGGUGCACUGGGCUUGUUCUGACGCUGAGACACGAAAGCGUGGGGAGCGAACGGGAUUAGAUACC
RNAcentral lists this ribosomal RNA (748 nucleotides) under uncultured bacterium. RNAcentral's name for it is "bacterial SSU rRNA". It matches the Rfam family "Bacterial small subunit ribosomal RNA", at positions 57 to 786 of the family's 1533-position model. The record is from RNAcentral.